UCGUAUUCACCCUCCUAAAGCCUAGAAGAGAAAUAUAUGAGCAUUGCCAAAUAAUAGCCUAUUAGUUUCCCUUUUCCUUCUUUUAUAGUUUUUCUCAACCUCUGAUCUAUGAACCUUUUCUGGGCAAUGAAUCUAGGUUCUCUCUUGCUCCAUUUUUUCAUAUUUUCCUUGUGAAAAUAUGUCUUCAAGAGCGUAAGGGAGAACCUAGAUUCAUUACCCAGCAAAAGUCAUCAACUUGUCUCCAAUCUCAUCUUCCCCAUAUCUUCAUAGGGAUAAAAGAAGGUGUUGCAGAUGUUUGUAGAUGUUUGAAACUUUAAGUUUUAAACUCCAUGAAUGCCACCCUUUUCAGGGUAGUUGUUUAAACCAUCUAAGCUAAGAUUUGGAUUCAUAACAGCAUAUUUCUUUUUCUUUCAAGUAUUGUUGUUAUUCUUUGAAUUAUGCCUAAGUAUUAGGUAAUUUUGUUUGGUCAAAUUCUACUAUUAGUCCAGUAUUAAUUUAGUCACUUUUGUUUAAUUUGAUCUUUUUUAAUUUUUAUAUUUUUCAAAUUUAAAAAUUUUAAUCUUCACUCAAAUGGUAGUGCUAGUUUACAUGCAUUAAACAUGGGAUUAUAUGUUUUCCAUAUAAAAUUUUGAAAAUAGUAUAAUUUAACAUGAUAAUUUUUUCUUUUUCAGGUAAGAAUCGAAUAUGAAUUUGUGUGUUUUUAAUUCAAAAUUAAGCUAUCAACUUGGUUCUUAUUUAAUAUUUUUUGUUUGAGUGGUUUCUUAUUUACUAUGGUUGGCAUGAAUAGUUAAAUUAUUUCGAGCUGAUUGGAUGAUGAACAAUGAUUUAAUGGUUUGGUUCAUUGAAUUAUUCAUUUCAUGGAAUCAUCAUUCAUAUUUUAUUUUAGCCUCCCCCAUAAUAGUCAUUCAUCACCAUAUCCAAAGAAUAAGAUAUUACACUCUUCAUCGAAUAGACUCAAAUUUUUUUAAAAAAAUGGGGUUUAGAAUUGAAAAAAUAUUUUCUUUUUAUAUUCUUCGCAUCCAUUUCACGGUUCAUAUUUGAGAUUCAUAGCUAUUUUUCCUAACAAUAUCGUCUCUAAGAUUCAAACAUGGGUCAUCCACUUAAGAAUGAGUGUGUCUUACCAUUACACUCAACCAUUUGUUGGUAAGAUUCUAUCUAGAUUAAUAUAUGUAUUUUGGUGAUUAUAUUUUAAUAUAAUAUUUAUUAUAAUUUAUAAAAAUAUUAAAAUAAAUUAUAUUAAAAGCUAAUAAAUAAUUUAUAUAAUUUUUAAAUUUUAAUUUUAAUAAAAUAUUCUAUAGCUAAAUUAUCUUUAUAAUUAUUUAAAAUUUUAAAAAGUCAAUUUAUUUAAUUUUUCAUAUUGUGAACUAAGAGUAAAGUUGUCAUUUGUGAUCUAUUCUUUGUAAAUUUUCUAUCAUUAUUCAGUCAAACCAAACAAUGUAAUAUAUUACAGCUUUACUUCAUUUAGUCAAUUAAACAUAGCAAUGUUAUUAUUUCUUUCUUCUAUUCUCACCGAAUAGGCUAUUCAAUUUGUACUUUAUUAAGUUCUAGUGAGCCAGACAUACCGUUAAUAUUUUUUCAGAUAAAAACAUAUCUUUCAAAUUUAAUAAUAAUUGUAUUAUUUGGUUUUAAGAUAAUAGGAUAAUAUAUGUCUAUAUAUGAAUCCCAUGUGAUGGUCUGAUGGUUAAGAGUGUUCACCACUCCAUAUGUCUGGAUUUGAAUCACGCUAGUCGCGUUAGUUGUUCGAACCUUGCAAUUCACCAAAAAUAUAUAUGCUUUAACCCUUAAUUCCAUCCUCUUAAGAGGAUUUUGAUUGCGAAGACUUCCUCUUUAAUCCCAAAGGACAUCAACAGACUUUAGAAAAAGGAAGAUAUUAUUCAAAAAUCAACUAUUAAUAACUUUGAAGUGUCAAUUUGUUGUAGAAAUACUUUCAUGACAUUUAAAUUAUUCGUGCAUAUUCAAUAUAUAUUUCAAUAUUCAUAUAAAAUUAUUUUUUUAAAGAAAAUACUAUCAUUAAUAGGAAUAAUGAACGAUAAGAAUAUAAAUAUCUAACACAUAGUACAAAUGAUAGAUAAUAUACAAUAAAUUGAUGUAUAAAUGCCAUGUCCGUAGAAUAAUUCAAAAAGAUAAGAAAGAUAAGCUGAAAGUAACUGCAAUACUAGAAGAAUUUAAAAAUAAACUAGAGUUAUGCCACCUUGAUCAAACCACUAAAAGCUCCAUCCUAGUCAUUAUUAGACUAACCUAAUGAUGAACUUUGGUCAAUAAAGAAACCGCUAUCAAGAGACUCACCGUAUCAAUGAUGCAUAAAAGACCAAGUCUCAAUAGCCUAUCAUCAUCAUCAUCAUCAUGAUCUUGGGUUCCAGUUUUACAAAUAUCAUCAUUAUUAAGAGGGAUAAUACGAACCCUAAAAAUAUAAAAAAUGUAUAUUAACAUUUCUAAUUUUGAAAGCCUUAUGUUAUUGUACAAUAAAAACAAAACUAAAAAAAAAAAUUAAAAAAAUAACAUAGAACACAAAUAAAAAUAUUCUUCAUAAAUGUAUUUCUGGUUAAUAAUUAUCUUAAUUUCCACUCUCAAAAACUUUAUUAUGUAAUUUUGGAAUUAAUAAAUUUAAUAUUUUAAUUUAGAAUGAUAGAGAUUGCAAUACUCAACUUUGAUUCACUCUUGCAGGAAUAUUAAAAAUAUUUAUUUGGGGUCAGUCUUUCUCUCAUAAUAUAUAUAUAGAUAUAUUUAUGAUUCGGGUCUUGCAUCGGUGAGCAAUGUUGUUGAAAUUCAAUUGAUUCUUGACUUGUGUCUCAAAGAUUGGAGAGUAAAAUUUAAAAGUAUCCGAAGAACAAAUAAUAAAGUGGCAGAUCAUUUAACCAAGAUGACUAGUAGUGAUAUUGAGCAUUUUGUGGUUCUUGAGGAGUCGCCGCAUGAAAUCAAUACCUUAUUAGAAGAGGAUACUCGUUCGAGUAUUCUUAAAGAGUCAACUAGUAAUUAGCAUAUUUUCUUGUAUCUAGGCUUUGCCUAUGUUUCCUUCUAUCAAAAAAUUAAAUUUAUGAUUGAAACAUAAUUAAUCUAAGUUUAACACAAGUCAAAUUUGGAUCAUCAUUAAUAAAUGAUUAAUAUACUAAAAAAAAAUAAACUACUACAAGUACUUAAAUUAUUUUUGUAGAUAAAAAAAAAAGUCUAUAUCUUAUUAUUUUUACUCAUUAAAUUAUUUUGAAUUAGAGACAUUUAUAUUAAUUUCUUGUUGAUCCAAUAAAAACUCUAUGCACUUUUAAAAUCAAUCUAAAAUUUAAAAGAGCAAUAAAAACAAAUUAAUUAAAAAUGGUAAUACCCAGAAGAUAGGGAGUUAAUAUUGUAAAGAAUGACCAAGAAUGGCUUAUAUAUUCCCCAAAGAGAUUAGAUUCUAUUCACUCCUCUCCCACCAUUUCUCUUUUAUUUUUUAUUUCAGCAAACAAGGAACCAAAUCAUAGUAGAAUAUAUAUCGAAUGUGGUAGGAAUGUAGCAAGGUAGCAGUCUAAAUGGUUAAGCAUCUAUCUCCCAUUGCAAGCUAGGUUUGAAUUCUGCCACCUUUCCCAUUUUCCCUUCUAUUUUUGGCAAAAAGGGUGUAUUCGCUAUCCAGCCCCUCAAAAUUCUUAAAAUCUAAGUAUUUAAUCACUUUUCCUAAUUAUACAUUGAUUUUAAUUCCUCUCCAACCCUAAAUAGAAUUUCCUCUAUUCUCUUUAAUUUUUCCUUUCUCUUUUAUUUCUCCCUUUUCUUUCUAUAAAAAUUUUACAUUCGUUAUUGGAAAUUUAUCUCUUGAAAUCCCAAAUCAAAAUCGAUUCUCGAUUUAACCCAUUUUUCUACUAAUUUUUUUUAUUUAUCAUCAAUCAUCUCAGAAUACUCAUCAAAAUAUCGGUAAGUACUCUCGUUUUAAUUAGUAGAACCCAUAAUUUUUUAGAUUACAUCGUUUCUCAUUAAUUUUCCAAACUCGAUUACGAAUCUUUUUUCGAAUUUUCCCGGAAAACCUCGAUAAUCUUGAUAAAUCUUGAAAUCUGUUACUAAUUAUAGCAUAAUCAUCGAUUGAAAGACUUGUUGUAGGUAUCCCAGAUCAAAUUUGGACGUGAAGAUCAUCGUUCAAGACCCUAGUGAAAGGUGUGUGUUCUUUUACAAGCGAAUCGAGGCAAAACCAUACCAAGAUAGGGCCACAUGGGUGUGUGGACUACACGACCAUGUCCCCUUGCAAACCCUAGGAUAGUUCGCUUCUCACAUGGGCACGACCUUUCCACACAGUCUGCCACACGAGCAUAUAGACCACACAGGUGGAUCACACGGCCUACCACACGACUAUGUGCCCUAGAAACCCUAGUGUAGUUCGUAAACCACACGGCCUCAGUCUAUUACAUGGCCUGGCCACAUGGUCAUGUGCCCCUAUUUUUCAAAGUUUAUAGUUUUACUCAGAAUUUUGUGAUUUGCUCAGUUUAGUCCCUGAUUGAUCCCCAAACUAUUUUUAAUGUUUUAUUUUAUUCAAAUAAGCCCC
This 4501-nucleotide long non-coding RNA is filed under the name Gossypium raimondii (Peruvian cotton). Its description in RNAcentral is "long non-coding RNA (GRAI_LNC011138)". Lineage: Eukaryota; Viridiplantae; Streptophyta; Magnoliopsida; Malvales; Malvaceae. The record is from RNAcentral.